GACAGAGGUGCCGAGCGUUAGGCGGAAUCACUGGGCUUAAAGCGUGUGUAGGCGGAUCUGUAAGUACCUUGUGAAAUCCCACGGCUCAACCGUGGAACUGCUUGGUAUACUGCGGAUCUUGAGCCACCUAGGGGCGAGCGGAACAAGUGGUGGAGCGGUGAAAUGCGUAGAUAUCACUUGGAACGCCAAUGGUGAAAACAGCUCGCUGGGGGUGUGCUGACGCUGAGACACGAAAGCCAGGGGAGCAAACGGG
RNAcentral lists this ribosomal RNA (253 nucleotides) under uncultured bacterium. Its description in RNAcentral is "partial 16S ribosomal RNA". It matches the Rfam family "Bacterial small subunit ribosomal RNA", at positions 524 to 776 of the family's 1533-position model. The record is from RNAcentral.